RNAcentral lists this long non-coding RNA (558 nucleotides) under Homo sapiens (human). RNAcentral's name for it is "HSALNT0329020". The record is from RNAcentral. Lineage: Eukaryota; Metazoa; Chordata; Mammalia; Primates; Hominidae.
GACAGAUGUGGUUUCCAGAAAGUCAGAUAAUUUAGAAGUCGAGAAAAAGACAAAACUAAAUGUUCUGGAGGCUGGAAGUCCAAGAUCAAGGUGCUAUCAGGGUUGGUUUCGGCUGUGGCCUCUCUUCCUGGCUUGUAGACAGCUAUCUUCUCGCAGUGUCCUCACGUGGCCUCUUUGUGUGAAGGUUUUGGCAAACGUCUAAUGACACAGAGCCACCAUUGCCAAUUUCACCACUGUCUUUCACCAAGUUGAUUCAUUUUGAACUGGCUCCAGCAAUCUACUCAGAGUUGACCUCAGAGCAAAAAAUUGAAGAAGCUGCUAAAGAAUGUGCUUGACUAAAACAAGGCAAUAAGCAAAAGGAAGUCAUAGCAUCCAGAAAAUGGGAUCCAUCAUGCGCACAAAGAAAAGGUGAAGAAAAUUUCCAGGAUGUUCAGAACCCACCAAAAACGAAAGAUUCUGGUCCAGAUCAGAAGAGAGGGAAACACUCUGAAAAAGUCCCUCAAAUACAAAAUUAAACAGAGUUUAAAUGAUGUGCUUGACCACAAUAAAAGGCUUCUU